Molecule: transfer RNA, 75 nt
Filed under: Desulforudis sp.
Lineage: Bacteria; Bacillati; Bacillota; Clostridia; Thermoanaerobacterales; Desulforudaceae
Description: tRNA-Val
Rfam family: tRNA
About the family: Transfer RNA (tRNA) molecules are approximately 80 nucleotides in length. Their secondary structure includes four short double-helical elements and three loops (D, anti-codon, and T loops).
Source: RNAcentral
GGGCGAUUAGCUCAGGGGGAGAGCACAUGCCUUACAAGCAUGGGGUCGCUGGUUCAAAUCCAGCAUCGCCCACCA